This 270-nucleotide ribosomal RNA is filed under the name Gammarus balcanicus. Its description in RNAcentral is "partial 16S ribosomal RNA". The record is from RNAcentral. Lineage: Eukaryota; Metazoa; Arthropoda; Malacostraca; Amphipoda; Gammaridae.
CUAAGGUAGCAUAGUCAUUUGUUAUUUAAUUGGUAACUGGAAUGAAAGGUUAAACUAGCUUAUUAAGUUUGUAAGGCUAAAUAGAAAUUUAAAGUUAAGGUAAGAAUUCUUUAAUUGUUUAGGGGACGAUAAGACCCUAGAAGCUUAACAAAUAGAGUGUUGGUUUUAGAAGCUAGUUUGUUUUACUGGGGCGGUAAAAAUAAUUAAGCUAUUUAUUGUCUAUAUGAUCCUUAAAAUAAAGAAAAAGUGGAAAAGUUACUUUAGGGAUAA